GGGUUGUGAGGUUAAGCGACUAAGCGUACACGGUGGAUGCCCUGGCAGUCAGAGGCGAUGAAGGACGUGCUAAUCUGCGAUAAGCGUCGGUAAGGUGAUAUGAACCGUUAUAACCGGCGAUUUCCGAAUGGGGAAACCCAGUGUGUUUCGACACACUAUCAUUAACUGAAUCCAUAGGUUAAUGAGGCGAACCGGGGGAACUGAAACAUCUAAGUACCCCGAGGAAAAGAAAUCAACCGAGAUUCCCCCAGUAGCGGCGAGCGAACGGGGAGCAGCCCAGAGCCUGAAUCAGUGUGUGUGUUAGUGGAAGCGUCUGGAAAGGCGCGCGAUACAGGGUGACAGCCCCGUACACAAAAAUGCACAUGCUGUGAGCUCGAUGAGUAGGGCGGGACACGUGGUAUCCUGUCUGAAUAUGGGGGGACCAUCCUCCAAGGCUAAAUACUCCUGACUGACCGAUAGUGAACCAGUACCGUGAGGGAAAGGCGAAAAGAACCCCGGCGAGGGGAGUGAAAAAGAACCUGAAACCGUGUACGUACAAGCAGUGGGAGCACGCUUAGGCGUGUGACUGCGUACCUUUUGUAUAAUGGGUCAGCGACUUAUAUUCUGUAGCAAGGUUAACCGAAUAGGGGAGCCGAAGGGAAACCGAGUCUUAACUGGGCGUUAAGUUGCAGGGUAUAGACCCGAAACCCGGUGAUCUAGCCAUGGGCAGGUUGAAGGUUGGGUAACACUAACUGGAGGACCGAACCGACUAAUGUUGAAAAAUUAGCGGAUGACUUGUGGCUGGGGGUGAAAGGCCAAUCAAACCGGGAGAUAGCUGGUUCUCCCCGAAAGCUAUUUAGGUAGCGCCUCGUGAAUUCAUCUCCGGGGGUAGAGCACUGUUUCGGCAAGGGGGUCAUCCCGACUUACCAACCCGAUGCAAACUGCGAAUACCGGAGAAUGUUAUCACGGGAGACACACGGCGGGUGCUAACGUCCGUCGUGAAGAGGGAAACAACCCAGACCGCCAGCUAAGGUCCCAAAGUCAUGGUUAAGUGGGAAACGAUGUGGGAAGGCCCAGACAGCCAGGAUGUUGGCUUAGAAGCAGCCAUCAUUUAAAGAAAGCGUAAUAGCUCACUGGUCGAGUCGGCCUGCGCGGAAGAUGUAACGGGGCUAAACCAUGCACCGAAGCUGCGGCAGCGACGCUUAUGCGUUGUUGGGUAGGGGAGCGUUCUGUAAGCCUGUGAAGGUGUACUGUGAGGUAUGCUGGAGGUAUCAGAAGUGCGAAUGCUGACAUAAGUAACGAUAAAGCGGGUGAAAAGCCCGCUCGCCGGAAGACCAAGGGUUCCUGUCCAACGUUAAUCGGGGCAGGGUGAGUCGACCCCUAAGGCGAGGCCGAAAGGCGUAGUCGAUGGGAAACAGGUUAAUAUUCCUGUACUUGGUGUUACUGCGAAGGGGGGACGGAGAAGGCUAUGUUGGCCGGGCGACGGUUGUCCCGGUUUAAGCGUGUAGGCUGGUUUUCCAGGCAAAUCCGGAAAAUCAAGGCUGAGGCGUGAUGACGAGGCACUACGGUGCUGAAGCAACAAAUGCCCUGCUUCCAGGAAAAGCCUCUAAGCAUCAGGUAACAUCAAAUCGUACCCCAAACCGACACAGGUGGUCAGGUAGAGAAUACCAAGGCGCUUGAGAGAACUCGGGUGAAGGAACUAGGCAAAAUGGUGCCGUAACUUCGGGAGAAGGCACGCUGAUAUGUAGGUGAAGCGACUUGCUCGUGGAGCUGAAAUCAGUCGAAGAUACCAGCUGGCUGCAACUGUUUAUUAAAAACACAGCACUGUGCAAACACGAAAGUGGACGUAUACGGUGUGACGCCUGCCCGGUGCCGGAAGGUUAAUUGAUGGGGUUAGCGCAAGCGAAGCUCUUGAUCGAAGCCCCGGUAAACGGCGGCCGUAACUAUAACGGUCCUAAGGUAGCGAAAUUCCUUGUCGGGUAAGUUCCGACCUGCACGAAUGGCGUAAUGAUGGCCAGGCUGUCUCCACCCGAGACUCAGUGAAAUUGAACUCGCUGUGAAGAUGCAGUGUACCCGCGGCAAGACGGAAAGACCCCGUGAACCUUUACUAUAGCUUGACACUGAACAUUGAGCCUUGAUGUGUAGGAUAGGUGGGAGGCUUUGAAGUGUGGACGCCAGUCUGCAUGGAGCCGACCUUGAAAUACCACCCUUUAAUGUUUGAUGUUCUAACGUUGACCCGUAAUCCGGGUUGCGGACAGUGUCUGGUGGGUAGUUUGACUGGGGCGGUCUCCUCCUAAAGAGUAACGGAGGAGCACGAAGGUUGGCUAAUCCUGGUCGGACAUCAGGAGGUUAGUGCAAUGGCAUAAGCCAGCUUGACUGCGAGCGUGACGGCGCGAGCAGGUGCGAAAGCAGGUCAUAGUGAUCCGGUGGUUCUGAAUGGAAGGGCCAUCGCUCAACGGAUAAAAGGUACUCCGGGGAUAACAGGCUGAUACCGCCCAAGAGUUCAUAUCGACGGCGGUGUUUGGCACCUCGAUGUCGGCUCAUCACAUCCUGGGGCUGAAGUAGGUCCCAAGGGUAUGGCUGUUCGCCAUUUAAAGUGGUACGCGAGCUGGGUUUAGAACGUCGUGAGACAGUUCGGUCCCUAUCUGCCGUGGGCGCUGGAGAACUGAGGGGGGCUGCUCCUAGUACGAGAGGACCGGAGUGGACGCAUCACUGGUGUUCGGGUUGUCAUGCCAAUGGCACUGCCCGGUAGCUAAAUGCGGAAGAGAUAAGUGCUGAAAGCAUCUAAGCACGAAACUUGCCCCGAGAUGAGUUCUCCCUGACUCCUUGAGAGUCCUGAAGGAACGUUGAAGACGACGACGUUGAUAGGCCGGGUGUGUAAGCGCAGCGAUGCGUUGAGCUAACCGGUACUAAUGAACCGUGAGGCUUAACCUUACAACGCCGAAGGUGUUU
This 2931-nucleotide ribosomal RNA is filed under the name Escherichia coli. RNAcentral describes it as "23S ribosomal RNA". It matches the Rfam family "Bacterial large subunit ribosomal RNA". The record is from RNAcentral. Lineage: Bacteria; Pseudomonadati; Pseudomonadota; Gammaproteobacteria; Enterobacterales; Enterobacteriaceae.